RNAcentral lists this ribosomal RNA (446 nucleotides) under uncultured organism. Its description in RNAcentral is "partial 16S ribosomal RNA". It matches the Rfam family "Bacterial small subunit ribosomal RNA", at positions 333 to 796 of the family's 1533-position model. The record is from RNAcentral.
ACACUCCUACGGGAGGCAGCAGUGGGGAAUAUUGGACCAUGGGCGCAAGCCUGAUCCAGCCAUGCCGCGUGAGUGAUGAAGGCCCUAGGGUUGUAAAGCUCUUUCACCGGUGAAGAUAAUGACGGUAACCGGAGAAGAAGCCCCGGCUAACUUCGUGCCAGCAGCCGCGGUAAUACGAAGGGGGCUAGCGUUGUUCGGAUUUACUGGGCGUAAAGCGCACGUAGGCGGACUAUUAAGUCAGGGGUGAAAUCCCGGGGCUCAACCCCGGAACUGCCUUUGAUACUGGUAGUCUUGAGUUCGAGAGAGGUGAGUGGAAUUCCGAGUGUAGAGGUGAAAUUCGUAGAUAUUCGGAGGAACACCAGUGGCGAAGGCGGCUCACUGGCUCGAUACUGACGCUGAGGUGCGAAAGCGUGGGGAGCAAACAGGAUUAGAAACCCUGGUAGUCC